Molecule: ribosomal RNA, 301 nt
Filed under: uncultured bacterium
Lineage: Bacteria
Description: partial 16S ribosomal RNA
Rfam family: Bacterial small subunit ribosomal RNA
Source: RNAcentral
CAGCAGCCGCGGUAAAACGGAGGGUGCAAGCGUUAAUCGGAAUUACUGGGCGUAAAGCGCACGCAGGCGGUCUGACAAGUCAGAUGUGAAAUCCCCGGGCUUAACCUGGGAACUGCAUUUGAAACUGUCAGGCUGGAGUCUUGUAGAGGGGGGUAGAAUUCCAGGUGUAGCGGUGAAAUGCGUAGAGAUCUGGAGGAAUACCGGUGGCGAAGGCGGCCCCCUGGACAAAGACUGACGCUCAGGUGCGAAAGCGUGGGGAGCAAACAGGAUUAGAUACCCGGGUAGUCCCUGUCUCUUAUAA